Molecule: ribosomal RNA, 253 nt
Filed under: uncultured bacterium
Lineage: Bacteria
Description: partial 16S ribosomal RNA
Rfam family: Bacterial small subunit ribosomal RNA
Source: RNAcentral
UACGUAGGGGGCAAGCGUUGUCCGGAAUCAUUGGGCGUAAAGGGCGCGUAGGCGGCCCUGUAAGUCCGCUGUGAAAGUCAAGGGCUCAACCCUUGAAUGCCGGUGGAUACUGCAGGGCUAGAGUCCGGAAGAGGCGAGUGGAAUUCCUGGUGUAGCGGUGAAAUGCGCAGAUAUCAGGAGGAACACCAAUUGCGAAGGCAGCUCGCUGGGACGUUACUGACGCUGAGACGCGAAAGCGUGGGGAGCAAACAGG